UGACGUCCAUAUCACGUUGAAACACAGGUUAUCGUACGAUCACCGAAGUUAAGCAACAUCGAUCCUGGUUAGAACUUAGAGUGGGUGACCACUUAGGAUUACCAGGUGCGGUAAG
This is a non-coding RNA of Acanthosepion pharaonis, 115 nucleotides long. Lineage: Eukaryota; Metazoa; Mollusca; Cephalopoda; Sepiida; Sepiidae. The record is from the annotation of a GenBank genome assembly.